GAACUUAAUAAAUAUAAUAGCAAGGGAAGCUUUUGGCGAAGGUAUAAAAGCUUGGACAACUGUUUGUUGGCAUUCAGUGAAUUAUUCACGCCGGUAGUUUUCCAUUGUGAUUCAGGAUAUCUUUGUAAUUUGAUACUAGUUCAUUAAAAAACCAUAAUGUCGGUUCCUGAUGUGGUUCUAAAUAAUGGAGUAAAGAUUCCCAUCAUUGGUCUAGGGACAUGGGGUAGUCCUAAGGGAGAAGUUGAGCAGGCCGUUAAAGAUGCUAUUGAUGUUGGUUAUCGUCACAUUGAUUGUGCACAUGUGUAUCAAAAUGAGGAUGAAGUCGGAGCCGGAAUUGAAGCUAAAAUAGCUGAAGGCGUUGUGAAGCGUGAGGAAUUGUUUAUUACUAGUAAAUUAUGGAAUACCUUCCAUAGUCCUGAAUUAGUACGAGGAGCCUUAGAAACUACUUUAAAGAAUUUGCGCUUAGAUUACCUUGACUUGUACUUGAUUCAUUGGCCAAUGGGCUUUAAAGAGGGCGGAGAGUUAUUUCCAAAUGAUGACCUUGGCAAAAUGCAAUAUUCGGAUGUCGAUUAUGUAGACACAUGGAAGGGAAUGGAAAAACUUGUAGAAGCUGGUCUUGUUAAGUCCAUUGGUGUAUCUAAUUUCAACAAACAUCAAAUUGAACGUGUGCUCGAGGUUGCAACUAUUGUUCCCGUUACAAAUCAAAUCGAAUGCCACCCUUAUUUAACUCAAGAAAAGCUGAUUGAAUUUUGUAAAUCAAAAAACAUUACUAUAACUGCAUACAGUCCUCUGGGUUCACCUAAUAGGCCAUGGGCGAAAUCAGGAGAUCCCGUUUUGUUAGAGGACGCUAAAAUUGUGGAUAUCGCUAAAAAGUAUGACAAAACUCCGGCGCAAAUUCUCAUUCGCUACCAAUUGCAACGUGGAAACAUUGUAAUCCCAAAGUCUGUAACUAAAAGUCGUAUUGCAUCUAACUUCGAUGUGUUCAAUUUCGAAUUAAGCUUAGAAGAUAUUGCAACAAUUAAUAGCUUUAAUUGUAACGGACGUUUCGUACCUCUGGACAACGAUGCUGACCAUGAGCACUACCCGUUUAAUGAUGAAUUUUAGUUUCGUAAAGUUGAAAACAAGUGAAAAUGUAGUAAUUUGUUCAAAAUAUAAGUCAGCUAUUGGUCUUAUGUCUUCAUUGUUAUGAUGGGUUAUUUCACUUUAAAUGCGUUUUGACUCCUAAAAAUAUUCAAUAUCUUAGCACCAUCGAUCUCAUCCGCACCAUCCAUUUAUUGAUGAGUUCUAGUGUGUGAAACUUAGUCCAGUUAAAAUUGGGGUUACUUUACUGUAAUUAUUCACACAUAUAUAAAUACAUAUGUAUAUACAAAUGGAUUUAAUGACACGUUAUAUUAAAUAAACACAUAUAUUUUCGUUA
This is an RNA transcript of Bactrocera neohumeralis, 1417 nucleotides long. It is a transcript of the gene named aldo-keto reductase family 1 member B1-like, with no coding region annotated. NCBI's taxonomy places the organism in Eukaryota, Metazoa, Arthropoda, Insecta, Diptera, Tephritidae. The record is from RefSeq and is a predicted model, not a curated record. The transcript has 7 exons.